UUGCGUAGGUGGAUAUUUAAGUAGCUAGUGAAAUUUGGUGGCUCAACCAUUCAAACCGUUAGCUAAACUGGAUAUCUCGAGGGCGUCAAGGGUAACUGGAAUUUCUAGUGUAGGAGUGAAAUCCGUAGAUAUUAGAAGGAACACCGAUAGCAUAGGCAGGUUACCGGGGCGUUUCUGACACUAAGGCACGAAAGCGUAGGGAGCAAACG
RNAcentral lists this ribosomal RNA (209 nucleotides) under uncultured bacterium. Its description in RNAcentral is "partial 16S ribosomal RNA". It matches the Rfam family "Bacterial small subunit ribosomal RNA", at positions 567 to 774 of the family's 1533-position model. The record is from RNAcentral.